RNAcentral lists this ribosomal RNA (350 nucleotides) under uncultured microorganism. Its description in RNAcentral is "bacterial SSU rRNA". It matches the Rfam family "Bacterial small subunit ribosomal RNA", at positions 9 to 355 of the family's 1533-position model. The record is from RNAcentral.
GAGUUUGAUCAUGGCUCAGAUUGAACGCUGGCGGCAUGCCUUACACAUGCAAGUCGAACGGCAGCAUGAUCUAGCUUGCUAGAUUGAUGGCGAGUGGCGAACGGGUGAGUAAUACAUCGGAACGUGCCCUGUAGUGGGGAUAACUAGUCGAAAGAUUAGCUAAUACCGCAUACGACCUGAGGGUGAAAGGUGGGGGACCGCAAGGCCUCAUGCUAUAGGAGCGGCCGAUGUCUGAUUAGCUAGUUGGUGGGUAAAGGCCCACCAAGGCGACGAUCAGUAGCUGGUCUGAGAGGACGAUCAGCCACACUGGGACUGAGACACGGCCCAGACUCCGUACGGGAGGCAGCAGU